GACGCAUCUAUACAGGUGUUACAGAUUGUAGCAAAUAUCCAAAGUCGAUGAAAAUAAUCAACCUUUCAAAGGCCAUUGCAGCACUUGUAGCAAUCUUCCUGACUCUUGCUGUGUUUACCUAUACUUCUGCAUCGCUGCUCCAAGAGAACAAGUCCCUGUGGAUUUCGAGAUGUGGAAUCGGAAGUCGAAAGAUGGCUAUGGAUUGCACAAGCAGAGAAGCUACGCCGGAGCAUGAUAUUUCGUUCGAAAGCCUGAAAAAGAAGCAAUCGCCACCACCACCUCCUGUUGUUAAGAAAAAGAAGCAGCUGAAGACGACAUCUCUGUUCUUUAGAACCCCGCCACGAUUUUAAAUGUCAAAGAUUGGUGGAAGCCAUGGAUAUUUAAAUUUCUCGUAAAAGAAUUAUACAUUUAUACUACGGGACAUCCCCUCAUACUGUAUUUACAUGUAUAGAUGUUAAUGUUAUUGCAUUGUGUAUAGACUUAAUUAA
Molecule: long non-coding RNA, 488 nt
Organism: Daucus carota subsp. sativus
Lineage: Eukaryota; Viridiplantae; Streptophyta; Magnoliopsida; Apiales; Apiaceae
Exons: 2
Source: RefSeq, a predicted model, not a curated record